RNAcentral lists this ribosomal RNA (446 nucleotides) under uncultured bacterium. Its description in RNAcentral is "bacterial SSU rRNA". It matches the Rfam family "Bacterial small subunit ribosomal RNA", at positions 28 to 507 of the family's 1533-position model. The record is from RNAcentral.
GAUGAACGCUGGCGGUAUGCCUAACACAUGCAAGUCGUACGAGAGUUUUUAACUCUAGUGGCGGACGGGUGAGUAACACGUGAGAAUUUGCCUUUAGGAGGGGGACAACAAUUGGAAACGAAUGCUAAUACCCCAUAUGCUUUCGAGUGAAAUGGAUUUUAUCCGCCUAGAGAGAAGCUCGCGGCUGAUUAGCUUGUUGGUAAGGUAAGAGCUUACCAAGGCGACGAUCAGUAUCUGGUUUGAGAGGACGAUCAGACACACUGGAACUGAGACACGGUCCAGACUCCUACGGGAGGCAGCAGUGGGGAAUUUUCCGCAAUGGGCGAAAGCCUGACGGAGCAAUACCGCGUGAGGGAAGAAUGCCUAUGGGUUGUAAACCUCUUUUUUCUAGGGAGGAAUAAAAUAGACGUGUACCUGAAGAAUAAGACAUACGGCUAAACUCCGUG